GAUGUGGGAGCCAUGCGUUUUGUCUAACGUCUGGGGAGGAUUCUCGGUGUGUGUGCAACCCAGGAUACUUUUGGAACGGAGCAUCGUGUGAAAAAUUUCCAGAUGUUGCUGGAGUGGAAUUCACCCUUGAGGCCCUGGAAUGGGAUGCUGAAUACUUAGACAUCACGAGCGAUCGGUUUAGGAGGAUUUCUAGCAUUCUAGUAGACAAGAUUUCCGAGUACUUUACCUCUAGCCGUGGAUUGAGCGCGAUUUUCGGCAGCGCCACAGUGCUCAACUUUUACGAAGGCAGUGUCAUAUCUACGGUGCUCCUCAACUUUAGUACACCCUGCGUGGAAAAGGAAGAGGUUUCUGGUCUCCUGAACGACGCAGUCGCUGCCGACAGCAACAACACACUCGGCAUCGCUCUACGGACUG
This is a long non-coding RNA of Branchiostoma floridae (Florida lancelet), 414 nucleotides long. RefSeq lists it as uncharacterized. The record is from RefSeq and is a predicted model, not a curated record. The transcript has 3 exons. Lineage: Eukaryota; Metazoa; Chordata; Leptocardii; Amphioxiformes; Branchiostomatidae.